This 253-nucleotide unclassified non-coding RNA is filed under the name uncultured Bacillaceae bacterium. RNAcentral describes it as "contains 16S-23S intergenic spacer region". It matches the Rfam family "Bacterial small subunit ribosomal RNA", at positions 524 to 776 of the family's 1533-position model. Lineage: Bacteria; Bacillati; Bacillota; Bacilli; Caryophanales; Bacillaceae. The record is from RNAcentral.
UACGUAGGUGGCAAGCGUUGUCCGGAAUUAUUGGGCGUAAAGCGCGCGCAGGCGGUCUCUUAAGUCUGAUGUGAAAGCCUCCGGCUCAACCGGGGAGGGUCAUUGGAAACUGGGAGACUUGAGUACAGCAGAGGAGAGUGGAAUUCCACGUGUAGCGGUGAAAUGCGUAGAUAUGUGGUGGAACACCAGUGGCGAAGGCGACUCGCUGGUCUGUAACUGACGCUGAGGCGCGAAAGCGUGGGCAGCAAACAGG